CUGGCCCGCGAUUGGCCCGCAGCGCCUGGGCGGGGCCUGCGGGGAGGAAGGGCUGCAGCUCACAGCAACAGAGUUUAGACCCGUCUUUGCUUCAUCAUCUGAAGGUAAAAAAUUUUCCAGCCUCCGCCGGCGGCUCGCAGAGUACAAUAAACAGGGACGCAGAACUGUUUGCAUGGACCUCGCUCGCUCAUGAUGCGGUGGAGAAGCCGCGGCCACUCGGUGCUGCCGGAUGCUCUCGGGGCCACUGUCCAUGGGGAGGACGAGCAGAGCUGAACAAGGAAGGCUUCCAAAUCUCACUUUCUACUCCAUCACCGUCUGUGCUUAUCGGGAAGAUACAUUUCAAGCUACUCACCCUCCAACAACUUACCAACAACUCGAAAUAUAGCCGAUCUCAGGAUUGCUGUGUCCUGAACAAGUGUGUGGGGUUGGUUGGAUGUGGCGAGAGGCCAAGAGCUGGAAGGCUCUCAAUGUGAUAUCUCCACCUCAGAAAGCGCACCCGGGGUCCUGCCUUACAGGAGGCCACUCUCUGAGGCCUACCCCGGAGACUUGUUGAUCCACAGGGCUGUGCAGCUGCUAGACAAAGCCAAGCCAAAGAGGGGGCCGUGGACUUCUUCAUGGCCUCUCAGGGUCAACAGUCACUUCCCCAGACAACCCAG
RNAcentral lists this long non-coding RNA (656 nucleotides) under Cricetulus griseus (Chinese hamster). Its description in RNAcentral is "lncRNA (ENSCGRG00015030720.1)". The record is from RNAcentral. Lineage: Eukaryota; Metazoa; Chordata; Mammalia; Rodentia; Cricetidae.